This 254-nucleotide ribosomal RNA is filed under the name uncultured bacterium. RNAcentral describes it as "partial 16S ribosomal RNA". It matches the Rfam family "Bacterial small subunit ribosomal RNA", at positions 524 to 776 of the family's 1533-position model. The record is from RNAcentral.
UACGUAGGCAGCGAGCGUUGUUCGGAUUUACUGGGCGUAAAGGGUGUGUAGGCGGUUGUUUAAGUUUGGUGUGAAAUCUCCCGGCUCAACUGGGAGGGUGCGCCGAAUACUGAAUGACUCGGAGUGCGGGAGAGGAAAGUGGAAUUCCUGGUGUAGCGGUGAAAUGCGUAGAUAUCAGGAGGAACACCGGUGGUGUAGACGGCUUUCUGGACCGUAACUGACGCUGAGACACGAAAGCGUGGGUAGCAAACAGG